AAGUGGGCAAAUCCAAAUUAACAUGGCCUGUAAUUGUUAAAGAUUUAGUUGCAUUAGAUCUCUCAAAACUAUUAACAUGAAGCAUAAUGACACAGAAAGAUUCAUUUAGACCUUAAAUUUGGCAAUAAUUUUUGUAGUUAUGUUAAGAUCUAUAUGGCAUGAUUAGUAUUUCUGCAGCGAGAAUUCGAAGGGGUUGGUUUUGGUAUGUGUAGACCGAAACUAUUAUGAUGUUUGUAGUUGCUUUGGAUGAACGGAAUGGAAUGGUGGAAGAGGAUUUAUGUAGUUGACUCUACGCUUAGUUUCUUGUGGUUUGAGGUCCUUGCUGAUAGAGGAAUUUAUUUUUUUGAUCGAUACUACUUUGGAUGAACGGAAUGGAAUGGUAGAAAUUGAGCUUGUUGUAAAGGAAAUAAAGUAAUGUGAUACUGAAGUGGGCGUCUGUUUGUUUAUUGUGUGUACUUCGGUAUUUUUUGAUUAUGUUAUAUAUAUAUAUAUCACAAUUUAUAGAUUUGAUUAUUAACGGUUGAUAUGGCGAGAUUUGACCUAGUCAAAAUCUCAUUAGCCAAAAAAAAAAAAUAAAUAAAAAAAAUCUCCCAAUUUCUUUUGUCAAUAACCUAUAUUACAAAAGCACAGCCGUUUAAGUGGUGAAAAGAUUUUGACAGUUUUAAUUCAAUUUAUCAUAAUUUCAUCGAUCUGUAAAAAAAACUUGUAAAUGGUGAUAUACAAGCAUUUUUAUGUGGGUCGAGAAAUGAAUUUUGGAUGUUGAAGGUUAGUUUUAAAGAUUGCAUGAUCUUAUUGCUUAAAGAAAGGCUCGAGGGGGGGAGAGUGCUGUGGCCGACUGAACUCUCUUCCUUGUUUUACUCCGACUUAUCGAAGAAGCACAAGAAGACCGAUUUUUGUUUGUGGGUAGCAUUUGAUAUGCUGCUUGGCUAGUUAUUUAUCAAAUGACACAGAAAGAUUCAUUUAGACCUUAAAUUUGGCAAUAAUUUUUGUAGUUAUGUUAAGAUCUAUAUGGCAUGAUUAGUAUUUCUGCAGCGAGAAUUCGAAGGGGUUGGUUUUGGUAUGUGUAGACCGAAACUAUUAUGAUGUUUGUAGUUGCUUUGGAUGAACGGAAUGGAAUGGUGGAAGAGGAUUUAUGUAGUUGACUCUACGCUUAGUUUCUUGUGGUUUGAGGUCCUUGCUGAUAGAGGAAUUUAUUUUUUUGAUCGAUACUAGAAGUUGAGCUUGUUGUAAAGGAAAUAAAGUAAUGUGAUACUGAAGUGGGCGUCUGUUUGUUUAUUGUGUG
This 1282-nucleotide long non-coding RNA is filed under the name Olea europaea (common olive). RNAcentral describes it as "long non-coding RNA (OEUR_LNC001665)". Lineage: Eukaryota; Viridiplantae; Streptophyta; Magnoliopsida; Lamiales; Oleaceae. The record is from RNAcentral.